RNAcentral lists this ribosomal RNA (305 nucleotides) under uncultured bacterium. Its description in RNAcentral is "bacterial SSU rRNA". It matches the Rfam family "Bacterial small subunit ribosomal RNA", at positions 337 to 657 of the family's 1533-position model. The record is from RNAcentral.
UCCUACGGGAGGCAGCAGUGGGGAAUAUUGGGCAAUGGACGCAAGUCUGACCCAGCAACGCCGCGUGAAGGAAGAAGGCUUUCGGGUUGUAAACUUCUUUUAAGGGGGAAGAGCAGAAGACGGUACCCCUUGAAUAAGCCACGGCUAACUACGUGCCAGCAGCCGCGGUAAUACGUAGGUGGCAAGCGUUGUCCGGAUUUACUGGGUGUAAAGGGCGUGCAGCCGGAGAGACAAGUCAGAUGUGAAAUCCCAAGGCUCAACCUUGGAACUGCAUUUGAAACUGUUGGUCUUGAGUAUCGGAGAGG